This 397-nucleotide ribosomal RNA is filed under the name uncultured bacterium. Its description in RNAcentral is "partial 16S ribosomal RNA". It matches the Rfam family "Bacterial small subunit ribosomal RNA", at positions 523 to 918 of the family's 1533-position model. The record is from RNAcentral.
AUACGUAGGGGGCGAGCGUUGUCCGGAAUGAUUGGGCGUAAAGGGCGCGUAGGCGGCGCGGUAAGUCUGGAGUGAAAGUCCUGCUCUCAAGGGGGGAAUUGCUUUGGAUACUGCCGCGCUUGAGUGCAGGAGAGGUUAUCGGAAUUCCCGGUGUAGCGGUGAAAUGCGUAGAGAUCGGGAGGAACACCAGUGGCGAAGGCGGGUAACUGGACUGCAACUGACGCUGAGGCGCGAAAGUGUGGGGAGCAAACAGGAUUAGAUACCCUGGUAGUCCACACUGUAAACGAUGAAUGCUAGGUGUAAGAGGUAUCGACCCCUUUUGUGCCGGAGUCAACACAAUAAGCAUUCCGCCUGGGGAGUACGGCCGCAAGGUUGAAACUCAAAUGAAUUGACGGGG